GACCUAGAAGAUGGCGAACUAUGUUUGAACAGAACGAAGCCGAAGCCGGAGGAAACUCUGGCGGAGGUUCGUAGCGGUGUUGACGUGAUAAUCACUCGUCAAAUUUGUGUUUAGGGGUGAAAGACUAAUCGAAUCAUCUAGUAGAUGG
Molecule: non-coding RNA, 148 nt
Filed under: Soboliphyme baturini
Lineage: Eukaryota; Metazoa; Nematoda; Enoplea; Dioctophymatida; Soboliphymatidae
Description: Eukaryotic large subunit ribosomal RNA
Rfam family: Eukaryotic large subunit ribosomal RNA
Source: Rfam by way of RNAcentral